Molecule: unclassified non-coding RNA, 3905 nt
Filed under: Gigantopelta aegis
Lineage: Eukaryota; Metazoa; Mollusca; Gastropoda; Neomphalida; Peltospiridae
Description: uncharacterized LOC121384066, transcript variant X5
Source: RNAcentral
AAGUACCGUAAAUCGUGAUUGGGACCAGUUAUAAAUUUCCCGCAAUUUUGCAAUUUCAGGAUGUGGAACCUAUAUAAAUUUGUUUUCAUCAAUUAAUCUCAUCUAACUUCGUUACUUAUAGGAUUAGGGGUACAGCAUAAUGGACGUGUUUCAGCCCCAUGGCAACGUGAGCCAAGCAGGAGAUGCACGCGGUUGUACGGAGCCGAUGAAAGGAAAUGAGGCCAUUGCUACUGAAGGCAUGGUUACAAAAAGGAGAUCCAAGCUGAAGGAUAAACUGGGAGAUGUUUGUGACACCAAACAGGAAGAAUUGUACAACAAAACUUUACAAGAAUCUGGCAUAGACAUAGCUGGUAUGGAGUGGGAAGAGAAAAAAGAGCUGGCGGAGGUGCUUCUGCUGUCUAAAGAUGAGCCCCAUGCCACUGGCCGAGCUGUAGAACACGGUGAAGAUCCUACAGAAGAUGUGGGAGGUCGGAAGUGUGGACCGGCACUGAUCAAGUCGGAUACACUAGCCUCUGAUAAGAGCAGUGUUAUCUUGGACGAUCACCCAGAUCAAAGAACUGCUACAAUAACGGCCAUGAGAAAGGUGCGGAAACGCCCGUUCGUACAGACUGCAGGUGGCGAUAAGAUCACUGUGUGUGUGGAUGUACAUGCGGGCGGAGACUGGCAAGAGGAACCCAUCAAGAAGGAGCGCAGGUUGAGGCAGUCGAGAAGGCAGAAGGAGAAUGUUAAGGAGCGAGUUCUGCCCGCGAGGAAGAAGAGGAUUAAAGCUGAAGUGGCCCGCACUAGAAGUGGUGACAUCUGCCAGGGAGAGACAGUGGAUGACAUCAUCAUGGAGAGGUCUUCUGGUGAACCAGCUGACAGUGAACAAGCAACGUCUACAGCCAUUCUGCAGGAGCCACACUCUGACUUGCACUCCGACGCCCAAACCUCAUCUAUCAGAACAGACAACUUGGGAGACCGGUCAUCCGUGGACCCAUCAACUGGUGAUGCUACAUCAUCGGCAACUGGGCACAGCGAUACUUUUGAACAGCGUGGUGUGGAGGUCGACAAGAAAGGGUCUGCUGUGUUCAGUUACAUUGACCUGGAUGAUGACGAGACACAGCCCCCAGAUUCUCCCGAUCUGUUCAGAGACAAGUCUGCUCAGGUUCCCAUUGUGUGUGUCCCAUCAAGCACAUCAUGUGAACAAGAUGAAGAUCCAUUUGAGAUGGAGAGUACCGACGAUGAAGCUGCUGUCACAGUGACGAGUCGUAAAGAUGAAGUCUUGGCGAAGUCUGAUCAAGAUGGUCGCUCGAGUCAUAAAGAUGAAACCUUGGGGAACUCUAAUCAUGAUGGUCACUCGAGUCUUAAAGAUGAAGUCUCACUGAAGUCUGGUCAAGAUGGUCGCUCAGGUCGCAAAAGUGAAAUCUGUGUAAAGUCUGGUACAGUUGAAAGUUUGGGUUGUAAAGAUGAAGUCUCGGUGAAGUUGGAUCAGGAUGGAAGCUUGAGUCGUAAAGAUGAAGUCUCUGUGGCAUCUGUUCAAGAUGAAUGCUUGGGAAGGAUGGAGACCGAUGAAUGUGUACCGUAUACUAGAAGUGACUCUGCACAACUUGCUGUCCACAUGACAUCCACAAGAGAACAUCCAGAAAAGAACACAACAAGCCAGGAGCCCAGCGUCACAGACCAGGCCAGCCAGGGCUUUGAUACGUCACAAGGUGAAGACAAAGAGAAUGAGGAGGAAUCACAGUCACCUACAUUCAAGAAAAAGCUACUGGGUAUGGAGAAGAUACAAGAAGUUCCAGAUAAGAAGUUAUUACGUAAAUACAGAAAAUACAAAGAAAAGAUGCGACUAUCUGCUCCAUUGUUCAGUCCAUCCCCACAGGAUCCUGUCAUGUAUGCUAAAGUGAUUCUUCAACUGUUUGACCUGUAUAUCCGCAAAGUCCGAUCAGCUCAGUCUGUGAUCGUGGGUCACGUGGAUUGGGGCACUCCCGUUCCUGUCGGCCGUCACAUGUCUCGCACUCUCGACAUCAAACGACGCGGACAACCCUCGUUUUCUUGGAGUGACGAUUCAGAGAGUCAGCCACAGGACGAUGUAGAGUCCCGGAAACAAUUUUCUCAGAAACAAGCCGACAUAGAAAAUGAUGACUUGGUUGAGUCGCUUCCUGAUAUUCCGUCCAUUGAGCCUGGGCCAGGCGAUUCUUACCUGAAUAGAGAACCAACAGAGUACGUUCCCUUGGAAGCUACUCUUCAGAGUGAGGAGAGAGUGUCGCAGACAUUGUGUGACGAAGAUGAUGAUUUCUACAAUGCUGACACUGAGGAGGCCUGUAAUAGUGUUGAUGGUGGAUUCAGAUCCUUGAGAAAUGCAGCUACGGCUACUGCGACUGUCACUACUGCUAAUGUUGAUAACAAUCUUGUAAUGAAUGCCAGUCAAAGCUCUAAUUCUCUUCUCAAUUCACAAGGGGAAAUCAAGCCGUAUCAGAAACAACCUUCACAGGAGGCAGAUUUGGCUGAAGUAGAUGAUGUGGUGGAUGUCGUCAGUGAUUCGGAGAGCAGCGAAUCUUCAAGUUCUAUGUCUGUGAAGAAAUGGACAACGUUGGGGAGGGUUCCAUCAAGAGAUUUGGUUAUGAAUGAGAAGAAGUCUGGGACCACACCUCGUGACAGAAACAGUGAGGUGGAGAUAGAGUGGAAGUUUGAUAGUCUGUCACAGCAGAUGAAGAAGGUGCUGUUUAAAACAAACAGCAAUCAAACAUCAUCACAGCGAAGUGGUGACGAUCCCACGAAGACCAUUGGUGACCAUGUUGAUAUUGGUGCAGAUCACGAUUCUUCAGAUGACGAUGUGUCUGGGAAAGGUAGUACAAAACGGCCGUCUGCACAGGCUACAAGAAGAAGCAAUCGUCCUGAUGAAUCACCUCAGAGAGUGGCUGAUUCAGGGAAUCGCGAUUCUUCAUCCUCGGAAUCAGAAUAUCCGGUGACAAAACGAAGCUGGAAGAAACUGUCGAGAAAGUCUUUCAUGGUGGAUAAUUCAGACAACAGCAUUCAUCUGCUUCAGACUGAACCUUUACCGCAAUCCACCGCCCCUUUCAAUACUGCUGGAAAUACUGCCCCUAAUACCUUGACUUCGUCUGUGAGUCCCCCUGCUGUGGUCCACAUAGAGGAUGAUGACCACGAAACAAAGAAUACACCAGAAGAGGCAGUGAGUCAUGUUGCUUGUCCAUUGUGUAAUGAGUUUUUCAACAGCAGUCAAAUUGAGCUGCAUGCGUCUGAGUGUGAUGGCCCAGUCAUCCAUCAAACACGCAAACGAAAACACCAGCAUAGUGGGCAGAUGAACGAUCUCGAUGAAGAUGGUGAAUUCAGGGACAUCCAUGCGGCAGUAGAUGUGCAUAGAAACCCAGGUGAAAGGUCGCACAGUGAAGACAAAAGAACGGAUGCACACACAAGUGCGGAGGAAAGAAGACGUCGGGAUGAUUGGACACGAGAUGACAUAGACAUGUCUGCAGUGAGGAAGAAAGCAGCACAGAUGAAACAGAGCAGGCCGAUGGAGGUGUGUAUGAUCUGCUCCGAAGACAUCCCUUCGGGACUGGAGUAUGAGCAGCACGUGGACCGGUGUAUUCAGGCAGCCAUCGAGAAGAACAAGGGCGGGGCCGGCGACGACGAGGACCGGAGACCCAGGCGGGCGAGGACCAAGGGAGGCCUGGUCAGUGAGCUGGAGUCGACAUGGGACCAGGGAGAUCGGACAGGUCAAUGGUGAUCACUUCACACAUCGUGAACUCAAAUAAUAAUACCAGGCCUCUGAGAUUUUAAACAUGCCAAUAGAAUGCAAGAUGGAAAAGAAAAUUCAGCAUUAUCAUCGAAGUCCAGGCAGUCUGAGGGGGUCCAUGCAUCAUCUGGCGAUGGAGACGCCAAGAAAGAACCCACCUGGUUGACUGCAG